RNAcentral lists this ribosomal RNA (253 nucleotides) under uncultured bacterium. RNAcentral describes it as "partial 16S ribosomal RNA". It matches the Rfam family "Bacterial small subunit ribosomal RNA", at positions 524 to 776 of the family's 1533-position model. The record is from RNAcentral.
UACGGGGGGGGCGAGCGUUGUUCGGAAUUACUGGGCGUAAAGGGCGCGUAGGCGGCCUGCUAAGUCGGAUGUGAAAUCCCUCGGCUCAACCGAGGAACUGCAUCCGAUACUGGCGGGCUUGAAUCCGGGAGAGGGAUGUAGAAUUCCAGGUGUAGCGGUGAAAUGCGUAGAUAUCUGGAGGAAUACCGGUGGCGAAGGCGGCAUCCUGGACCAUUACUGACGCUGAGGCGCGAAAGCUAGGGGAGCAAACGGG